RNAcentral lists this ribosomal RNA (257 nucleotides) under Stenodactylus mauritanicus. RNAcentral's name for it is "partial 12S ribosomal RNA". Lineage: Eukaryota; Metazoa; Chordata; Lepidosauria; Squamata; Gekkonidae. The record is from RNAcentral.
CAAGCUUCACCCCCCCUGCUCUCGCCCCUCAAUCUAUAUACCACCGUCUUCAACUUACCUAUUGAUAGACCCUCAGCACGUACAACUGACAUCUACCUCAAACACGUCAGGUCAAGGUGUAGCUAAUGAGCAGGAAGAGAUGGGCUACAUUUUCUUCAUACAAGAAAUAACCAACAGCGCUAUGAAACCCCGCCAAAAGCAGGAUUUAGCAGUAAGCCUGAAAUAGACUAAGCCAGACUGAAACAUGCUCUGGGAUG